This 252-nucleotide ribosomal RNA is filed under the name uncultured bacterium. Its description in RNAcentral is "partial 16S ribosomal RNA". It matches the Rfam family "Bacterial small subunit ribosomal RNA", at positions 524 to 776 of the family's 1533-position model. The record is from RNAcentral.
UACGUAGGGGGCAAGCGUUGUCCGGAUUUAUUGGGCGUAAAGAGCGUGUAGGCGGCCAUACAGGUCCGUUGUGAAAACUCGAGGCUCAACCUCGAGACGUCGAUGGAAACCGUAUGGCUAGAGUCCGGAAGAGGAGAGUGGAAUUCCUGGUGUAGCGGUGAAAUGCGCAGAUAUCAGGAAGAACACCCGUGGCGAAGGCGGCUCUCUGGACGGUACUGACGCUGAGGUGCGAAAGCGUGGGGAGCAAACAGG